ACUGGUAGGCUUGGGACCGGGAGAGGUGGGAGGUACUCCAGGGGUAGGGGUGAAAUCUCGUAAUCCUUGGGGGACCACCGAUGGCGAAGGCAUCCCACCAGAACGGGUCCGACGGUGAGGGACGAAAGCUGGGGGCACGAACCGGAUUAGAUACCCGGGUAGUCCCAGCCGUAAACGAUGCUCGCUAGGUGUCAGGUGCGGUGCGACCGCAU
This 212-nucleotide ribosomal RNA is filed under the name uncultured Candidatus Methanoperedens sp. RNAcentral describes it as "partial 16S ribosomal RNA". It matches the Rfam family "Archaeal small subunit ribosomal RNA", at positions 583 to 794 of the family's 1478-position model. The record is from RNAcentral. Lineage: Archaea; Methanobacteriati; Methanobacteriota; Methanomicrobia; Methanosarcinales; Candidatus Methanoperedentaceae.